UGAAUAUAAGCUCUGCUUGAGCUUUUGGUUGUUAACCAUACAGGAAUAAAUAAAUUUAUAUAUUCAG
This 67-nucleotide transfer RNA is filed under the name Katharina tunicata (black chiton). Its description in RNAcentral is "tRNA-Asn". The record is from RNAcentral. Lineage: Eukaryota; Metazoa; Mollusca; Polyplacophora; Chitonida; Mopaliidae.